UGUAGUAAUACAAGGCAGACGGCUCAGUAACGCGUAGUCAACCUACCCUAUGGACGGGGAUAACCUCGAGAAACUGAGAAUAAUACCCGAUAGAACAUUAUGCCUGGAAUGGUUUAUGUUUCAAAUAAUUUAUUGCCGUAGGAUGGGACUGCGGCCUAUCAGUUUGUUGGUGAGGUAAUGGCCCACCAAGACUAUUACAGGUACGGGCUCUGAGAGGAGUAGCCCGGAGAUGGGUACUGAGACACGGACCCAGGCCCUAUGGGGCGCAGCAGGCGAGAAAACUUUGCAAUGUGCGAAAGCACGACAAGGUUAAUCCGAGUGGUUUCUGCUAAAGGAACCUUUUGUCAGUCCUAGAAACACUGAUGAAUAAGGGGUGGGCAAGUUCUGGUGUCAGCCGCCGCGGUAAAACCAGCACCUCAAGUGGUCAGGAUGAUUAUUGGGCCUAAAGCAUCCGUAGCCUGCUUUGUUAGUUUUCGGUUAAAUCCAUACGCUCAACGUAUGGGCUGCCGGGAAUACUGCAAAGCUAGGGAGUGGGAGAGGUAGACGGUACUCGGUAGGAAGGGGUAAAAUCCUUUGAUCUAUUGAUGACCACCUGUGGCGAAGGCGGUCUACCAGAACACGUCCGACGGUGAGGGAUGAAAGCUGGGGGAGCAAACCGGAUUAGAUACCCGGGUAGUCCCAGCUGUAAACUAUGCAAACUCAGUGAUGCAUUGGCUUGAUGCCAAUGCAGUGCUGCAGGGAAGCCGUUAAGUUUGCCGCCUGGGAAGUACGUACGCAAGUAUGAAAACUUAAAAGGAGUUGGCGGGGGAGCACCACAAGGGUGAAGACUGCGGUCCAAUUGUA
Molecule: ribosomal RNA, 843 nt
Filed under: uncultured archaeon
Lineage: Archaea
Description: bacterial SSU rRNA
Rfam family: Archaeal small subunit ribosomal RNA
Source: RNAcentral